GAAAAGGGGAGAUGCAACGAGACCUGGGUGCCAUGGUACACCAGUCAUUAAAAGUAGGCAUGCAGGUACAGCAGGCAGUGAAGAUAGCUAUUUACAUGUUGGCCUUAAUA
Long non-coding RNA from Amblyraja radiata (thorny skate), 110 nucleotides. RefSeq lists it as uncharacterized. The transcript is spliced from 2 exons. The record is from RefSeq and is a predicted model, not a curated record. NCBI's taxonomy places the organism in Eukaryota, Metazoa, Chordata, Chondrichthyes, Rajiformes, Rajidae.